This 347-nucleotide transfer-messenger RNA is filed under the name Christensenellales. RNAcentral's name for it is "Limiplasma sp023411375 Standard tmRNA". It matches the Rfam family "transfer-messenger RNA". Rfam says of the family: Bacterial tmRNA, also known as 10Sa RNA or SsrA, is named for its dual tRNA and mRNA-like properties. Its role is to liberate the mRNA from a stalled ribosome. To accomplish this part of the tmRNA is used as a reading frame that ends in a translation stop signal. Lineage: Bacteria; Bacillati; Bacillota; Clostridia. RNAcentral also lists the same sequence under 1 other name. The record is from RNAcentral.
GGGGGUGUUCUGGUUUCGACGGGAGUUUUCGGAGGUAUGGUAAGCGAGCCGCGGACCCUGUACCGCGUUAAAACGGGGAAAAACAAUAACUGACAAUAGCGAUUUCGCUUUCGCGGCUUAAUGCCGCGCGUCGACCCUGACUGCCCACAGGUCAGGUCAUCGGCGUCAGCAAUGUGGGGAACGAGUGCGCCAAAGCUUUGAAGCGUUACCCGUAAUCAUGAAGCUACCGUAACCGCAAGCCCGCCAGGGGGCGUGCGGCGAGGGGAAUCCUAAAACCUUGGAUGCGCUCGGAGAAGGCUGUACUGGCGUGCUUUCGGACGGGGGUUCGAUUCCCCUCACCUCCACCA